RNAcentral lists this ribosomal RNA (292 nucleotides) under uncultured bacterium. RNAcentral's name for it is "partial 16S ribosomal RNA". It matches the Rfam family "Bacterial small subunit ribosomal RNA", at positions 505 to 796 of the family's 1533-position model. The record is from RNAcentral.
GUGUCAGCAGCCGCGGUAAUACGAAGGGGGCUAGCGUUGUUCGGAAUUACUGGGCGUAAAGGGCGCGUAGGCGGUACUUCAAGUCAGGCGUGAAAGCCCCGGGCUCAACCUGGGAACCGCGCUUGAGACUGGAGAACUAGAGUUCGGGAGAGGAUGGUGGAAUUCCCAGUGUAGAGGUGAAAUUCGUAGAUAUUGGGAAGAACACCGAUGGCGAAGGCAGCCAUCUGGACCGACACUGACGCUGAGGCGCGAAAGCGUGGGGAGCAAACAGGAUUAGAAACCCCCGUAGUCC